AUGUCAUGCAAAAAAAGCUGCGGAAGGAAAAGCUUCAAAAAUAGGGCAGGAGGAAGUUGGAAGGCCAUUGCAACCCUCUCAUGGAAAGGUAUUGCUAGCAAGCCUCUUGCAAUAUUUAUUUCUGAGAGAGAGCACCUUGCUGCAUUCUGUCCUACUCCAAGGAUGGAUGUUCUAGGCUCUCAGCUUCUGUUAUUCCCAAAGUUAUGGCCAAGGGCUGUGUCCCUGUUCAUGCUCCAUGUGCUAUCAUUGUUGUUGUUGUUGUUGGAGUUAAUGUAUCAUUGUUGUUGUUAUUCCCAAAGCUGUGGCUCCUCAUCCAAGGGCUGUGUCUCUGCGCAUGUUCCAUGUGCCAUUGUUGUUGUUGUUACUGUAUCACUGUUGUUGUUAUUCCCAAAGCUGUGGCUCCUCAUACAAGGGUGGUGUCUCUGUGCAUGUUCCAUGUGCCAUUGUUGUUACUGUAUCACUGUUGUUAUUAUUCCCAAAGCUGUGGCUCCUCAUCCAAGAGCAGUGGCUCUGUGCAUGCUCCAUGUCCUAUUGUUGUUGUUAAUGUAUCACUGUUGUUAUUAUUCCCAAAGCUGUGGCUCCUCAUCCAAGAGCAGUGUCUCUGUGCAUGCUCCAUGUGUUGUUGUUGUUGUUGUUGUUAUUGUUAAUGUGUCACUGUUGUUAUUCCCAAAGGUGUGGCUCCUCAUCCAAGAGCAGUGUCUCUGUGCAGGCUCCAUGUCCUGUUGUUGUUGUUGUUAAUGUAUCACUGUUGUUGUUAUUCCCAAAGUUGUGGCUCCUCAUCCAAUAGCUCCAUGUGCUAUUAUUGUUGUUGUGAUCAUUAUUGUUGUUACUGUAUCACUGUUGUUGUUAUUCCCAAAGUUGUGGCUCCUCAUCCAAUAGCUCCAUGUGCUAUUAUUGUUGUUGUUGUUACUGUAUCACUGUUGUUGUUAUUCCCAAAGUUGUGGCUCCUCAUCCAAUAGCUCCAUGUGCUAUUAUUGUUGUUGUGAUCAUUAUUGUUGUUACUGUAUCACUGUUGUUGUUAUUCCCAAAGUUGGGGCUCCUCAUCCAAUAGCUCCAUGUGCUAUUAUUAUUGUUGUGAUCAUUAUUGUUGUUACUGUAUCACUGUUGUUGUUAUUUCCCAAGCGGUGGUUCCUCAUCUUAUGUGUUAUGUCUCUGUGCAUGCUCCAUGUGCUAUUAUUGUUGUUGUUGUUGUCGUUACUGUAUCACUGUUGUUGUUAUUCCCAAAGCGGUGGCUCCUCAUCCCAGGGCUGCAUCUCUGCACACUCCAUGUGCCAUUUCCUCCUCUGAAUGUGCAAUGUCCCAAUGUUGGAACUGUAAGGUUUUAUCCACUAAAUGCCAAAGGAUAUCCAACAUAGAAGCAUAGCGCAAGCAAGGCCUGGAAAAAAAACCCUCAAGUAUUUCAAUUAAAUAAAUAAGGUUUUUAAAAAUACCUCCUUUUUUGGUUGAAUGGGUUGAGACUCGAUGAUGAGAUAUUCAUUGCAAAACUAUUACCAAAUGUGCUACAGCAGGACAUCCCUCUUGCAAAGACAAAGUUUUGGCAAUUUAAUGAACUUUUUCCAUAAAUGUUUUUAUGAUGGAACCAAUUAGGGAAUGGCAUUUAUAACCCAGGAAUAAAAAUCACGUUGCAUCGUGUUAUUGCUCCCAUUAAUCUCUGAGCAAAUUUUGCCUUGUUUCCGUGCAUUCCCUGGAUGCAUCCAAAGGCCCAUGUGCCAAGCACAGCAUUGUUGUUGUUGUUGUUGUUUUUGUUGUUGUUGUCCUCGUAUAACCUGAGCUUCAUCAAUAAAAUGCAAGGGGGGAAAAGAAGAUCAGACAUCAAAAACAAAAUCUCCCUUUCUUUUUCUUUCCUAAGAAACAAAACAAAACAAACCCGAAACUUUUAAAUUCCUACAAGAGAUGCAUUUUAUAAAUUAAUUUACAGCUCAAUGCUGUAAAUUAUGGGAAUUGUAGUUUUACAAUGACUUUGUUGCCUUCUCUGCUGGAAACUCAAUGCACUACAUGUCCCAGAAUCAGCCAAAAAAAGCCCUUUCUAGGGGAAUCACAGCACCCAGAAUUCCCCAUCCCGCAUGCGAAUGCUCCUUUGAAAGAUCACAGCACCCAUAAUCCACCAACCAGAAUGGGAAACGUUGCUUUUUGGGGAAUCACAAUACUCAGAUUCCUCCAGAAAAGCUCGUUUGAGAGACGACAGUACCCACAAUCCCCAAAUACCAGGAGCCCUUUUUUGUAAGCAGCGAAGCAUCCAUAAUCCACCAAAUGGUGUAGAAAAAGUGGUCAUACCCCUAAAUCCAUCAAACCGCAUGGAAAAGGUCCUUGUGGGGGUACCACAAUACCCAGAAUCCCCAGGCAAACAUAGAAAAAGCUCCUUUUGAGGGCAUCACAGCACCCAGAAUCCACCAACCAAUAAUAAUGAUGAUAAUAGUUAUAGUUAUAAUAAUAAUAAUCAUCAUCAUCAUCAUCAAUCAGCAUGGAAAAUUUCCUUUUGGGGCAAAACAAUACCCAGAAUCCCCCAGCAAACAUAGAAAAGAUUCCUUUAAGGGAAUCACAGCACCCCGAAUCCACCAACCAAUAAUAAUGAUGAUAAUAGUUAUAGUUAUAAUAAUAAUAAUAAUAUGGUAGAGUCUCACUUAUCCAACAUAAACGGGCCGGCAGAACGUUGGAUAUGCGAAUAUGUUGGAUAAUAAGGAGGCAUUAAGGAAAAGCCUAUUAAACAUCAAAUUAGGUUAUGAUUUUACAAAUUAAGCACCAAAACAUCAUGUUUAACAACAAAUUUGACAGAAAAAGUAGUUCAAUACACAGUAAUGCUAUGUAGUAAUUACUGUAUUUACGAAUUUAGCACCAAAUAUCACGAUGUAUUGAAA
Long non-coding RNA from Anolis carolinensis (green anole), 2855 nucleotides. The record is from Ensembl. NCBI's taxonomy places the organism in Eukaryota, Metazoa, Chordata, Lepidosauria, Squamata, Anolidae.